This 401-nucleotide long non-coding RNA is filed under the name Homo sapiens (human). RNAcentral describes it as "non-protein coding lnc-SLC44A3-1:10". Lineage: Eukaryota; Metazoa; Chordata; Mammalia; Primates; Hominidae. The record is from RNAcentral.
CAAAAAGUUAGCCUGGCGAGGGGAGGAUGAUGAGAUUUCCCCUGUUGUCACAUAAACAAGGAAGUAAAGGGGGCCCCUUGUGCUCUCAGAACUCCAAGCAUGAAACGAUUUUCUGCCAUUUCAGUUCCUGUUAUCGUGCUUUGAGGUGCACUGAACUGCAGCAAACCCAGGGGAUCCAAGGCUACGUUGAAAAGCCUUUGACCACAGUGCAGGGAGCAGAAGACAUUAAUGACGUGAUGUCGACACAGCCCGCACUCAGGAUCCUCCAGGAAAAGAACACAGAGAUAACCCCGGAUCGAUGGUACUUUUUGAAAAUGCUUUAUUGCAAAAGAGUGGCUAGGGUUUUACAAGGGCUAUGAAGAAACAUAUUAAGGUUAAUAAAGCUUUUUAUUGAGUGUUUA